RNAcentral lists this ribosomal RNA (415 nucleotides) under uncultured bacterium. RNAcentral describes it as "bacterial SSU rRNA". It matches the Rfam family "Bacterial small subunit ribosomal RNA", at positions 945 to 1359 of the family's 1533-position model. The record is from RNAcentral.
UUUAAUUCGAAGCAACGCGCAGAACCUUACCAGCCGUUGACAUGGCGGGACGGGCGAGAGAGAUUUCGUCCUUCACUUCGGUGACCCGCGCACAGGUGCUGCAUGGCUGUCGUCAGCUCGUGUCGUGAGAUGUUGGGUUAAGUCCCGCAACGAGCGCAACCCACGUCCUCAGUUGCCAUCAUUGAGUUGGGCACUCUGGGGAGACUGCCGGUGAUAAGCCGCGAGGAAGGUGUGGAUGACGUCAAGUCCUCAUGGCCCUUACGGGCUGGGCUACACACGUGCUACAAUGGCGGUGACAGAGGGACGCGAACCCGCGAGGGCCAGCCAAUCUCGAAAAGCCGUCUCAGUUCGGAUUGCACUCUGCAACUCGAGUGCAUGAAGUUGGAAUCGCUAGUAAUCGUGGAUCAGCACGCCA